Molecule: long non-coding RNA, 193 nt
Organism: Daphnia pulicaria
Lineage: Eukaryota; Metazoa; Arthropoda; Branchiopoda; Diplostraca; Daphniidae
Exons: 2
Source: RefSeq, a predicted model, not a curated record
CUGAAGCAAGCACACACCCAACACAGCACACAGCCAAGGGUCCAAUUAUACAAGUCAUAACUCAUUAACUGUUUUUGGUUUUCUUUUCAGGAGAACGGCGAAAAAACGAACUUGAUGCAGCACAAAUGAUAACGAAAUAAUCUACUAGAGAGAGAUGGUCAUCGACUUUGGUAACCUUUCGUUGUUUUGUUUG